Molecule: long non-coding RNA, 466 nt
Organism: Cyprinus carpio (common carp)
Lineage: Eukaryota; Metazoa; Chordata; Actinopteri; Cypriniformes; Cyprinidae
Exons: 3
Source: RefSeq, a predicted model, not a curated record
GCUUUUAAAUGUGAAUAAUUAAUAUUUGUGCUGUGUUGUCUUCUUUAUGAUGCAAAGGAAAUGAGGAUUCAGUCUGUUUGUAAUGAUGAACAUGUUUCUGACUGCUCUGCUCUUCUUUAACAGGGAGUCUCAGCUCUGAAGAACUGCAUUCUGGGUAUGAAGAUGCUGAUGAGUUUCUCUCAGCAAAAGAGUUCAAGACUGCAUCAGAAGAGAUGGUGAAGGAAAUCACACCGGGAUACUAUGAUGAUGUCAUCACUGUUGGACUGAAACCAGAUCGUGAGACAGUUGUCACUCUCUUACUCUACAACAGCAUAGAAUAUAAUAUAAUUAAUAAUAAUAAUAAUAAUAAUAAUCCUUUAAAAUCAAGAUUGUUACAGAUAAUAUUUUAAACUACUGCCUUAAUUGUUUUUUUGGUUUACAUUUAAAUUGACUCAUAUUUUUGUGUGUAGUGGACGCACCAGAUAAU